RNAcentral lists this ribosomal RNA (252 nucleotides) under uncultured bacterium. RNAcentral describes it as "partial 16S ribosomal RNA". It matches the Rfam family "Bacterial small subunit ribosomal RNA", at positions 524 to 776 of the family's 1533-position model. The record is from RNAcentral.
UACGUAGGUGGCGAGCGUUGUCCGGAAUUAUUGGGCGUAAAGCGCGCGUAGGCGGGCUUUUAAGUCUAUUCUAAAAGUGCGGGGCUCAACCCCGUGAUGGGAUAGAAACUAAUAUUCUUGAGUACCGGAGAGGAAAGCGGAAUUCCCAGUGUAGCGGUGAAAUGCGUAGAUAUUGGGAGGAACACCAGUGGCGAAGGCGGCUUUCUGGACGGUGUCUGACGCUGAGGCGCGAAAGCCAGGGGAGCGAACGGG